AUACGGAGGGUGCAAGCGUUAUCCGGAUUUACUGGGUUUAAAGGGUACGCAGGCGGUAAUUUAAGUCAGUGGUGAAAGCCUACAGCUCAACUGUAGAACUGCCAUUGAAACUGAAUUACUUGAGUAUGGUAGAGGUAGGCGGAAUACAACAUGUAGCGGUGAAAUGCAUAGAUAUGUUGUAGAACACCGAUUGCGAAGGCAGCUUACUAAACCAUUACUGACGCUCAUGUACGAAAGCGUGGGGAGCGAACAGGAUUAGAAACCCCAGUACUCC
RNAcentral lists this ribosomal RNA (274 nucleotides) under uncultured bacterium. RNAcentral's name for it is "partial 16S ribosomal RNA". It matches the Rfam family "Bacterial small subunit ribosomal RNA", at positions 523 to 796 of the family's 1533-position model. The record is from RNAcentral.